AUUCAUGUUACAAGUUAACUUUAUUAGGUUAAACUUUAAAGAUCUUACAAAAUAAUAUAUUCGCGAGUCGUAGACAUAGUUAACUACUUUUAUUUUACUUUCAUGGCUUAGUUUCGCAUUUACCCAAAGUAGUAGGUAACUUUUUUGGCACAAUAUUCAAAUGACGACUAUUACCACCUUAGUCGUCCGUGACUAGGAAAACUGUAGAGUAUUUCGAAACGUUCGUAACAAAUAGUAAAGUAAUUUCAAUAAAAUCUACCAAUUUUGAUUUCAUUGAGAACAUUACAAGUUUAUAUAUUACUACCUAUUGCUGUAUUGUUUGUUUAAAAAAGUUGUUAGAUCUGUAAACUAAUAGUGCAGAAGAUAGAAGCACCUUACCAAUCACUGCAUCGAUUGAAUAAAUGAUAAGGGUUUUGCGCAUUUACGUUGUAGAUGUCUAUGGGCUCCAGUAACCACUUAACACCAGGUGGGCUGUGAGCUCGUCCACCCAUCUUAGCAAUAAAAAAAAAAGAAAAAAAAAAUUCACUACGUAGAUAUAAUUCUAAAAUUGUAAUUCGUGAUCCUAGCCUGACCUAACCUAACCGAUCUGGAUUUUAAUGGAUCUUUCCAUCGAUAUCUGUUACGUUGGCAUGAAGGAGAGCUACGCUGAGAGGUAUUUUCAGGUGUUUGUUCCUGCUCUUUUCAUCGUUUAGAACGGUCCGUUCUCUUGGAAUCUUACUCUCUUGAUUUUGCCAGUGCAAGCAAUAUGGCGGAAAUACUGCUGAAUUCGCUCGCUUUUUCCCUCGGCUCGGCACAAGGCAAUUAAUGAAGGCCAUUCAUUAGUACUUUCGGAACAUCGGCCAUAUAACACGGAAAGUCAGAGCGAGGCUGUACUGAAAACUGGAUUAAUGAACAAGUUGUUCUCGUGUGCGAAGGAAAACAUAAAAAAAACACGAAAAUGAGUUUAUUAGCUUUUCAGCGUAGUAACACGAUGACAUGAAGAUUUUGCC
This is a long non-coding RNA of Bombyx mori (domestic silkworm), 989 nucleotides long. RefSeq lists it as uncharacterized. The transcript is spliced from 2 exons. Lineage: Eukaryota; Metazoa; Arthropoda; Insecta; Lepidoptera; Bombycidae. The record is from RefSeq and is a predicted model, not a curated record.